UAAGACAUAGGUGGCGAACGUUAUCCGGAUUUAUUGGGCGUAAAGGAUGCGUAGAUGGUGGAAUAAGUUAUUGGUCGAGGUCAAGCUCAACUUGGCGGAAGCUGGUAAUACUGUUCUACUUGAGGACAGGAGAGGUUGGCGGAAUUCUGUGUGGAGCGGUGAAAUGCGUUGAUCUACAGAGGAACACCAAAAAGGGCGAAGGCAGCUAACUAUUCUGAUCCUGACAUUGAGGCAUGAAAGCGUGGGGAGCAAACCGGAUUAGAUACCCGGGUAGUCCACGCCCUAAACGAUGAGCAUUAGACAUUAGGUGUUAUGCUUAGUGUCGCAGCUAACGCUUUAAAUGCUCCGCCUGGGUAGUACGGUCGCAAGGCUA
Molecule: ribosomal RNA, 373 nt
Filed under: uncultured bacterium
Lineage: Bacteria
Description: bacterial SSU rRNA
Rfam family: Bacterial small subunit ribosomal RNA
Source: RNAcentral